CAUGGCUCUGAGCUCUCAGAGAGGCACAUCUGAAUCCCUGCCCCUUGCUGGCACUGCUCUCCCGSCUGGGAAUCCUUCCCCUUGGAUGCCCCAAAUCCUUUCUCCCUGCCUCCCAGGUGAGCCUGUACGCCGACCUGCCGAAGCCCAGCCACAGCGUCCACAUGGGGACCGUGGGGACYGGCUCCAAGGUCAUGGCCUUCAGCAUCCCACAGGCGAGGGCGGCGGCGAUCAGCGCUGCCCCUGCCCCAGCCCUGCGGCCCUCUCUGGAUGGAGGUAGGCUGAGCUGCUUUUCUCCAUCCCACCCGACCAGCUCUGGGGACCAUCAGCUCAUUGCACUCCCACCGUGGCAUCGGGGGAGCUGCAGCCAAGAUGCCCUACCCAGGGCCGGACCACGACUUGCCCCAUGGCUGGGGAACCAGGUGCUCCUGGGGGUCACCUGUGUCACCUUGUCUUUGCCUUUUGUUGCAGAGCCAGCACAAGGAGCAGCCAGCCAGGGGAUGUCACCUCAGCCUCGUUUUCCUCCUUUGCCCGGUGCGGGCUGCUCUGCAUGCCCAGGAGAGUGCAGGUGCCCAGGGCAGCACCCAUGCCYGGGAACCCAGCUCACGCGGACACUGGCGGGACAAACCCGCAAGUUUCAGGCUCAGGUGGAGUCCUUCGAAGCCUGGGUCCAGGCGGGAAAGUCCACACCACAGGAGCAGCUCCAGAGAUUUAGGAAGCUGRAGGACACUCAGGACGUGCUGGAGCGAGCAUAUCUGCAAGCCCGGGAGGAGAACCGCAGGCUGCAACAGCACCGGGGAGCCUCAGGGGAGUUUGAUCCAGACCGGUAGGUGUUUUAGCACAGGACAGGAGGGACAAGGGCUCAGUUCCCACUCUGCCAUGCUCUUUGCUACC
RNAcentral lists this long non-coding RNA (891 nucleotides) under Dromaius novaehollandiae (emu). RNAcentral's name for it is "lncRNA (ENSDNVG00000019135.1)". The record is from RNAcentral. Lineage: Eukaryota; Metazoa; Chordata; Aves; Casuariiformes; Dromaiidae.